UACGUAGGGUGCAAGCGUUAAUCGGAAUUACUAGGCGUAAAGCGUGCGCAGGCGGUUUUGUAAGUCUGACGUGAAAUCCCCGGGCUCAACCUGGGAAUUGCGUUGGAGACUGCAAGGCUAGAGUUUGGCAGAGGGGGGUAGAAUUCCACGUGUAGCAGUGAAAUGCGUAGAUAUGUGGAGGAACACCGAUGGCGAAGGCAGCCCCCUGGGUCAAGACUGACGCUCAUGCACGAAAGCGUGGGGAGCAAACAGG
This 253-nucleotide ribosomal RNA is filed under the name uncultured bacterium. RNAcentral's name for it is "partial 16S ribosomal RNA". It matches the Rfam family "Bacterial small subunit ribosomal RNA", at positions 524 to 776 of the family's 1533-position model. The record is from RNAcentral.